AGCUCCAAUAGCGUAUAUUAAAGUUGUUGCAGUUAAAAAGCUCGUAGUUGAAUUUCUGGCCAGCGUUGCGUCUGGCUCUCUGAGUCGACGUACUCGCUUGGUCAUCCGUAUGGGAAGCCUGCUCGGCCUUCACUGGUCGGCUGGUGGAUCAUACACUUUACUUUGAAAAAAUUAGAGUGUUUCAGGCAGGCAAUUGCUUGGAUACUUCAGCAUGGAAUAAUGGAAUAGGACUUUGACCUAUUUGUUGGUUUUUCUCUCAAGGUCAAGGUAAUGAUUAAUAGGGACAGUUGGGGGCAUUCGUAUUUAAUUGUCAGAGGUGAAAUUCUUGGAUUUAUUAAAGACGAACUUAUGCGAAAGCAUUUGCCAAGGAUGUUUUCA
This 378-nucleotide ribosomal RNA is filed under the name uncultured eukaryote. RNAcentral describes it as "SSU rRNA". It matches the Rfam family "Eukaryotic small subunit ribosomal RNA", at positions 587 to 972 of the family's 1831-position model. The record is from RNAcentral.